Molecule: ribosomal RNA, 446 nt
Filed under: uncultured fungus
Lineage: Eukaryota; Fungi
Description: eukaryotic LSU rRNA
Source: RNAcentral
CGAAUGUAAUGAAAUAAUGUUGUGCUGAGCACUAAUAUACAACUUUCAACAACGGAUCUCUUGGCUCUCGCAUCGAUGAAGAACGCAGCGAMAUGCGAUAAGUAAUGUGAAUUGCAGAAUUCAGUGAAUCAUCGAAUCUUUGAACGCACCUUGCACCCUUUGGUAUUCCAAAGGGUAUGCUCGUUUGAGUGUCAUUAUACUCUCACGCUCUCUGAUUAGAGAGUGGUGGACUUGGAUGUUGCCUGGUACUUGCUGUCAGGCCUCAUCUCAAAUGAGUUAGUACGGCUCCUAGUUAAACMUAGUACGGCGUUAUAACUAAACCCCCGCCGUUUUUUUGUCUGAUUAGGAGCUCUGUGCUUCAAACCGUCUUCGGACAAUGUCUGAUACCUUGACCUCAAAUCGAGUAGGAUUACCCGCUGAACUUAAGCAUAUCACUAAGCGGAGGA